CAUGCACUCUAUGGCUUAUGUCAGAGCUAAGUCAUUCGGGACGCCAAGGGUUCAGAAGGCUCUUGGGAGAUGAUUCCUUUGAAGGAAAAAACCCACCCGCCCUGGUUGAAGAGGAGGACUGCUCUGCCUCUGAUGGAUGGCGCCAGAUCUUUCCCGCCAAAGAUUUUAAACAUCUUUACUGAACGUUGGAAA
Lacerta agilis (Sand lizard) is the source of this 192-nucleotide long non-coding RNA. RefSeq lists it as uncharacterized. NCBI's taxonomy places the organism in Eukaryota, Metazoa, Chordata, Lepidosauria, Squamata, Lacertidae. The transcript has 3 exons. The record is from RefSeq and is a predicted model, not a curated record.